GUUGCCGCUAGAGGACUUAAAGUUUUUGCCCGCAGCCAGUCCAGGGUGCCCUGCCCUCGCCAGGUCCCUGGCGCCCCCAGCGAGGCGCCUCCACAAGCAUUCCCACGGCUUGGGGGGGAGGAGACGAGCAGGUUUGCAACCUCCCCCCACCACUUCCACGACCCAGCCAGGAAAGGGACCCUGGUGACCUCGCAUCCCAGUCACUGCCCCCUUUACCCUUCCUUCUCUUACACGGCGGACCUGUGGACCGUGGAGGAUUCUGUGAAUGCUGAGACCGGAGAGUAGAUGGAAGUGGUUCUAAAAAGCAGGUGAGUUUGGGGCGAGAGAAGCUGCCCUCCUGUCUCAGGCUGUGGGACACGCAAGGCUCAAAACUCAGCGCCGGGUGCCCCCAGAUGCUCCUUGCAGUGCGCGCCUCCUGCUCGCACAGAACCACUGCGUAGACUGCGCUCCGGGAUCUCCAUAGCGGGAGAGCGAAUUCACCCGCUCCCGCCCACCCAGCCUCAAGGAAUUUUCUGCGCUCCCUACGGUAUUGGGAAGCAGACAGAGACAGUCAUGGAGACAAGAUGAUGUGAAGAGACCCAGGGAGAAGAGAGCCACCUACAAGCUAAGGAGAGAGGCCAAGAACAGAUCUGUCCUCACAGCCCUCAGAAGGAAGGAACCAGCUCUGCCAACAUCUGGAUUUUGGACUUCUAGCUUCCAGAACUGUGUGACAAUACAGAUCUGUUGUUGAAGCCA
This is a non-coding RNA of Miniopterus natalensis, 735 nucleotides long. NCBI's taxonomy places the organism in Eukaryota, Metazoa, Chordata, Mammalia, Chiroptera, Miniopteridae. The record is from RefSeq and is a predicted model, not a curated record.